CCGCCGCGCGCGGCGGGCCUACGGGAGGCAGCAGUGGGGAAUAUUCCGCAAUGGACGAAAGUCUGACGGAGCAACGCCGCGUGAGUGAAGAGGGGUUUCGGGUCGUAAAGCUCUGUUGUCGGGGACGAAUGUGCAGUAUUUGAAUAAAGUACUGUAAUGACGGUACCUGACGAGGAAGCCACGGCUAACUACGUGCCAGCAGCCGCGGUAAUA
This 213-nucleotide ribosomal RNA is filed under the name uncultured bacterium. RNAcentral describes it as "partial 16S ribosomal RNA". It matches the Rfam family "Bacterial small subunit ribosomal RNA", at positions 312 to 525 of the family's 1533-position model. The record is from RNAcentral.